GGGAAGGUGGCUCAGUGGUAGAGCGCUUGCCUUGCAUGCCUGAGGCCCUGGGUUCGAU
Molecule: non-coding RNA, 58 nt
Organism: Dipodomys ordii (Ord's kangaroo rat)
Lineage: Eukaryota; Metazoa; Chordata; Mammalia; Rodentia; Heteromyidae
Source: Rfam